GCCGAAAAUCUAGCCCCAAGCCUUAGAAUGCCGCACUUCACCCAGACCAAACAAAUAAAACAUUCCCGCAAUCUAGUAGAGGCGAUAAAAAAAUUAAUUAGAGCUAUACCAGGAGUACCGCAAGGGAAAGAUGAAAUAAAAAUGAAAUAAACAAUUAAGCACAAAAAAGUAAAGAUUUAACCUUGUACCUUUUGUAUCAUGGUUUAACUAGUCUCAGUCGAGCAAAACGAAUUUAAGUUUGACCCCCCGAAACUAGACGAGCUACUUAAAGGCAGCCUAUGAGCAAACCCGUCUCUGUCGCAAAAGAGUGGGAAGACCCUUGAGUAGGGGUGACAGACCAACCGAGUCUAGAGAUAGCUGGUUACCCAAUAAAAGAAUCUUAGUUCAACCUAAAGCCUUAAUAUGAUUAAAAACAAACCCCCUGCUUUAGAGCUAUUCAAAUAAGGUACAGCUUAUUUGAAACAGGAGACAACCUCAAACAAUGGGUUAUCAUGCGAGCAAUUUACCAAAGUGGGCCCAAGAGCAGCCACCUUUAAAAUAGCGUCAAAGCUUAUCUAAUAUGCUCCAUCAAUAGCCAAAGUCACAUAAAACCCUUUAACACUACUGGGUAAUUCUAUACCCCUAUAGAACCUAUCAUGUUAAAACUAGUAGCAAGAAGCAACCAUUCUCUUAAAUGCAAGUGUAAGACAGAAAGGAUAAACCACUGCCAAUUAACACGCAUAAACUUAAACUAGAAACAUCACAAGAAAACCCUAUUAACUUCAGUGUUAACCUAACACAAGAGCAUUUCAAGAAAGAUUAAAAAAAAAGGAAGGAACUCGGCAAACCUUAACCUCGCCUGUUUACCAAAAACAUCGCCUCUUGAACACACAUAAGAGGUCCAGCCUGCCCAGUGACCAAUUUCAACGGCCGCGGUAUCCUAACCGUGCAAA
Molecule: ribosomal RNA, 932 nt
Filed under: Aplastodiscus sibilatus
Lineage: Eukaryota; Metazoa; Chordata; Amphibia; Anura; Hylidae
Description: partial 16S ribosomal RNA
Rfam family: Bacterial large subunit ribosomal RNA (bases 167-932)
Source: RNAcentral